AUUGAACGCUGGCGGCAUGCCUUACACAUGCAAGUCGAACGGUAACAGGUCUUCGGAUGCUGACGAGUGGCGAACGGGUGAGUAAUACAUCGGAACGUGCCCGAUCGUGGGGGAUAACGAGGCGAAAGCUUUGCUAAUACCGCAUACGAUCUACGGAUGAAAGCGGGGGAGCUUCGGACCUCGCGCGGCCGGAGCGGCCGAUGGCAGAUUAGGUAGUUGGUGGGAUAAAAGCUUACCAAGCCGACGAUCUGUAGCUGGUCUGAGAGGAUGAUCAGCCACACUGGGACUGAGACACGGCCCAGACUCCUACGGGAGGCAGCAGUGGGGAAUUUUGGACAAUGGGCGAAAGCCUGAUCCAGCCAUGCCGCGUGCAGGAUGAAGGCCUUUGGGUUGUAAACUGCUUUUGUACGGAACGAAAAGCCUCUUUCUAAUAAAGAGGGGUCAUGACGGUACCGUAAGAAUAAGCACCGGCUAACUACGUG
Molecule: ribosomal RNA, 482 nt
Filed under: uncultured bacterium
Lineage: Bacteria
Description: partial 16S ribosomal RNA
Rfam family: Bacterial small subunit ribosomal RNA
Source: RNAcentral